RNAcentral lists this small RNA (109 nucleotides) under Flavobacterium sp. FPG59. Its description in RNAcentral is "Flavo-1 RNA". It matches the Rfam family "Flavo-1 RNA". Lineage: Bacteria; Pseudomonadati; Bacteroidota; Flavobacteriia; Flavobacteriales; Flavobacteriaceae. The record is from Rfam by way of RNAcentral.
ACAAAACCCGCGUGAGGGAUAGCAGUGGAGCUCCUUUUUCUUGAAUUGCCUCGGGUUUAAACCCGAGGCAAUUCAAGAAAAAGAGCGGGAACGAAUAGCCCGACCCGAC